Molecule: ribosomal RNA, 800 nt
Filed under: uncultured bacterium
Lineage: Bacteria
Description: bacterial SSU rRNA
Rfam family: Bacterial small subunit ribosomal RNA
Source: RNAcentral
AGAGUUUGAUCCUGGCUCAGAAUGAACGCUGGCGGCGUGGAUUAGGCAUGCAAGUCGAACGAGAAAGCGGUCUUCGGAUCGCCGGUAAAGUGGCGAACGGGUGAGUAACGCGUGGGAAACCUACCUUCGAGUGUGGGAUAACAACUCUAACGGGUUGCUAAUGCCGCAUAACAUUGCAGGUCGCAUGUUCUGCAAUCAAAGGUGGCCUAUACUUGUAAGCUGUCGCUUGGAGACGGUCCCGCGUCCCAUUAGCUAGUUGGUAGGGUAAUGGCCUACCAAGGCGACGAUGGGUAGCCGGCCUGAGAGGGUGGUCGGCCACACUGGAACUGAGACACGGUCCAGACUCCUACGGGAGGCAGCAGUCGAGAGGCUUCGGCAAUGGGGGAAACCCUGACCGAGCGACGCCGCGUGGGUGAUGAAGUUCUUCGGAACGUAAAACCCUGUCAUACGGGAUGAGAAGUUGAUCGGUAAAUAGCCUUUCAACUUGACAGUACUGUAAGAGGAAGCUCCGGCCAACUCCGUGCCAGCAGCCGCGGUAAUACGGGGGGAGCGAGCGUUAUUCGGAUUCACUGGGCGUAAACGGUUCGUAGGCGGCCAGGUAAGUCGAGGGUGAAAUCUGGCGGCUCAACCGUCAAACUGCCCUUGAAACCGCUUGGCUUGAGGACAUGAGAGGAAAGGGGAAUUCUCGGUGUAGCGGUGAAAUGCGUGGAUAUCGAGAGGAACACCAGUGGCGUAGGCGCCUUUCUGGCAUGUUUCUGACGCUGAGGAACGAAAGUCAGGGGAGCGAACGGGAUUUAGAU